RNAcentral lists this long non-coding RNA (936 nucleotides) under Cricetulus griseus (Chinese hamster). RNAcentral's name for it is "lncRNA (ENSCGRG00015035880.1)". Lineage: Eukaryota; Metazoa; Chordata; Mammalia; Rodentia; Cricetidae. The record is from RNAcentral.
CAAGGCCAGAAUCAGAGAGAGCAUGCCCCUCUUAACUUAAAGGGUAUGAAACAACUGAAGGAGGUUGUUUUGGCAUACGGGCCUCAUGCUCUUUUACUCUGGCCUUUUUUGAAUCCUUUGCAGCCUUGUAGGGGAAGCUGUAGCCACGCUUACUUAGAGGCUGGCUACAGGUAUUCCUGACCACGCUUGCAAGAGCAUGGUCAGCGUGAUGUAGAGUGACUGCAUUUUCUCUUUCAGUUUCACUUUGGUACUUGCUGGACAGACUGCUGCCACGCCGGCUGGCUAUGACCAUAUUGUGAGCAGGAAAGGUAAAGGGAACACCUAAGCCCAGGAGACUGAGCUAAUUAUUGGGGACACUGCCUGUGAAGAAGAUCUCUGCUUUUGGUUUUCCUGGUUUUCCUUACUCUGGCAAGUAACCACCUUCUCUGGGCCUCUGCAACAUGCCUGCAAAGCAUAACUACCAUCUCACAAGGAGGACUCUUGGCUUCAUAGUUAAUUGAAUCUUAAAGGCAUUAAGACUCAGCACCUGUAAUGGAAAAGCAAAGUCUCAUCAGCAUGACUGUCUGAAUAUGGGCUGGACAAGAACAACAACAAUAGACACGUGGAUGGCAAAAAGCCCAUGAGACCCCAUCCCUACACAAAGAGCUACGGGAAAGAACACCACAUCAGCUGUCAUGGUUCACUGCCUGCGCCAGAAGACAGAGAAGGAACGCUUGGAGUUCACACUGAAAUUGAAUCCUGGAUGUCAGUGGAGAUCAUGGAGAGAUGAUGGGCUUAGAAGACAAGAUGGAUGAGAAAAUGGCCAGUUCCCUCCUGAUGAAGUUCCACUCUGUCCUUACGAGGCUCUAGCCAAUCUUGGGGAUUUUUUUGGGGAACUAAGUUCAGUGGCUUGCUUUAAUCACAGACAAAUUCAAUGACUGUAAACAAUAGUGGUGG